This 494-nucleotide ribosomal RNA is filed under the name uncultured bacterium. RNAcentral's name for it is "bacterial SSU rRNA". It matches the Rfam family "Bacterial small subunit ribosomal RNA", at positions 903 to 1397 of the family's 1533-position model. The record is from RNAcentral.
AAAGGAAUUGACGGGCACCCGCACAAGCAGUGGAGCAUGCUGUUUAAUUCGAAGAUACGCGAAGAACCUUACCAGGGCUUGACAUCCCACUGACCGAUUUAGAAAUAAGUCUUUCCCUUCGGGGACAGUGGUGACAGGUGGUGCAUGGUUGUCGUCAGCUCGUGUCGUGAGAUGUUCGGUUAAGUCCGAUAACGAGCGCAACCCCUUUCUUUAAUUGCUAACAUUUAGUUGAGAACCUUAAAGAUACUGCCGGUGACAAACCGGAGGAAGGUGGGGAUGACGUCAAAUCAUCAUGCCCCUUACGUCCUGGGCUACAGGCGUGCUAUAAUGGCAGAUAUAAAAAGUUGCAAUACCGUGAGGUGGAGCUAAUCUCCAAAGUCUGUCUCAGUUCGGAUUGAAGUCUGCAACUCGACUUCAUGAAGCUAGAAUUGCUAGUAAUCGUGAAUCAGAAUGUCACGGUGAAUACGUUCCCGGGUGUUGUACACACCGCCCGU